AUUUUAUAGGACUAACAUAUCAAUUACAAUAUUUUGUCAUUUGAAGAAUGAUUUGCAGACUUUUUUAGCCGGUGUGUACAAACCCUUUAUCCAACCUUAUGCUAUUUCGCAUAGGCGGCGAGAAGCACACCGGACAUACACAUGCACAAUCAACUAUAGCGAGGAUCUUCCGCUUGCGCAAGGAAUAAAGUUCGGUUAGGUCAAGCGGCUGCCAAAGGAAAUGAAGCACCACUAAAAACAAGUUUUCGAUGGCAAACGUCAAACAAUCGCAGGCUUGUAACAAAAAAAAUAUGUGUCUUAGUGUCCUAACUUAUGAAAAGUCGAGGUAACGUGUCGAAAGGGUUGAAUAAAAAUUAAGUCACUUGCUAA
Nematostella vectensis (starlet sea anemone) is the source of this 369-nucleotide long non-coding RNA. RefSeq lists it as uncharacterized. The transcript has 2 exons. The record is from RefSeq and is a predicted model, not a curated record. Lineage: Eukaryota; Metazoa; Cnidaria; Anthozoa; Actiniaria; Edwardsiidae.